CAGCCCUCAGGCCCCUGGCUGGCCUGGCGUUGGGGCAUCUGCGGGUGACCGCAGGCCCUGAAAGACAGUGGCGGUGUCCGCUAGCACUCCGGGCGUAGUAGAUCUCCUUCUCGCCCAGGACGCCUUGCGGGCUACCGGCCAUAAAACAGCCUAACGAUUGGAA
This 163-nucleotide unclassified non-coding RNA is filed under the name uncultured Sordariales. RNAcentral describes it as "sequence contains ITS2". Lineage: Eukaryota; Fungi; Ascomycota; Sordariomycetes; Sordariales. The record is from RNAcentral.